Molecule: non-coding RNA, 45 nt
Filed under: Schistosoma margrebowiei
Lineage: Eukaryota; Metazoa; Platyhelminthes; Trematoda; Strigeidida; Schistosomatidae
Source: RNAcentral
AUCCAUGUGACAAGUCCCAAAUAGGAUGAAACGCGUGUCAUGAAU